This is a small nucleolar RNA of Callithrix jacchus (white-tufted-ear marmoset), 103 nucleotides long. The record is from Ensembl. Lineage: Eukaryota; Metazoa; Chordata; Mammalia; Primates; Cebidae.
ACCCUUUUGUAGUUCAUAAGCAUGAUGAUUCGGUUUUCAUACUCGUGUGUGAGAUGUGCCUCCCUAAAACCUUGUUAAAAGUCAGCACAUUACCCAUGUGGAA